UGGUGACAAUAGAGCUAUAGAACCACCUGAACCCAUCUCGAACUCAGAAGUGAAAUGUAGCAUCGCCGAUGGUAGUGUGGGAGUUCCCAUGUGAGAGUAGGACAUCGCC
Molecule: ribosomal RNA, 109 nt
Filed under: Nitrosomonas sp.
Lineage: Bacteria; Pseudomonadati; Pseudomonadota; Betaproteobacteria; Nitrosomonadales; Nitrosomonadaceae
Source: RNAcentral